UCUUGUAAUUGGAAUGAUGGUGACGUAAAAUCUCACCAGAGUAACAAUUGGAGGGCAAGUCUGGUGCCAGCAGCCGCGGUAAUUCCAGCUCCAAUAGCGUAUAUUAAACUUGUUGCAGUUAAAAAGCUCGUAGUUGAAUUUCUGCGUUGCCCGACUCGGCUACUUGCCUUGUCUGGUUUCGCUUUUGGGGUUUUCCCCUUUUUACUUUGAGAAAAUUAGAGUGUUUCAAGCAGACUUGUGUCUUGAAUACUUCAGCAUGGAAUAAUAAAGUAGGACUUUGGUUCUAUUUUGUUGGUUUGUGAACCUUAGUAAUGGUUAAUAGGAACGGUUGGGGGCAUUCGUAUUUAACUGUCAGAGGUGAAAUUCUUAGAUUUGUUAAAGACGAACUACUGCGAAAGCAUUUGCCAAGGACGUUUUCAUUAAUCAAGAACGAAAGUUAGGGGAUCGAAGACGAUCAGAUACCGUCGUAGUCCUAACCAUAAAC
RNAcentral lists this ribosomal RNA (484 nucleotides) under Babesia gibsoni. RNAcentral's name for it is "SSU rRNA". It matches the Rfam family "Eukaryotic small subunit ribosomal RNA", at positions 501 to 1037 of the family's 1831-position model. Lineage: Eukaryota; Apicomplexa; Aconoidasida; Piroplasmida; Babesiidae. The record is from RNAcentral.